AACGAACGCUGGCGGCGUGUUUAAGACAUGCAAGUCGCACGGGACUAUUUGAGUAGCAAUACAAGAAUAGUUUAGUGGCGCACGGGUGAGUAACACGUGAAUUACAUGCCCUGCAGAGGGGGAUAGCCCAGGGAAACUUGGAUUAAUACCUCAUAGUAUGUGAGAAUCGCAUGGUUUUCAUAUUAAAGUUCCAACGGUAAAGAUGAGCAUGCGUCCCAUUAGCUAGAUGGUAAGGUAACGGCUUACCAUGGCGACGAUGGGUAGGGGUCCUGAGAGGGAGAUCCCCCACACUGGUACUGAGACACGGACCAGACUCCUACGGGAGGCAGCAGUGAGGAAUAUUGGACAAUGGACGCAAGUCUGAUCCAGCCAUGCCGCGUGAAGGAUUAAGGUCCUCUGGAUUGUAAACUUCUUUAUAAGGGACGAAAAAAGGUCUUCUAGAUCGUCUGACGGUACCUUAUGAAUAAGCACCGGCUAACUCCGUGCCAGCAGCCGACGG
Molecule: ribosomal RNA, 499 nt
Filed under: uncultured bacterium
Lineage: Bacteria
Description: bacterial SSU rRNA
Rfam family: Bacterial small subunit ribosomal RNA
Source: RNAcentral